RNAcentral lists this transfer RNA (71 nucleotides) under Lachnospiraceae bacterium. RNAcentral's name for it is "tRNA-Gln". It matches the Rfam family "tRNA". From Rfam's summary of the family: Transfer RNA (tRNA) molecules are approximately 80 nucleotides in length. The record is from RNAcentral. RNAcentral also lists the same sequence under 4 other names. Lineage: Bacteria; Bacillati; Bacillota; Clostridia; Lachnospirales; Lachnospiraceae.
UGUCUUAUGGUGUAAUGGUAGCACAACAGGUUUUGGUUCUGUUUGUCCAGGUUCGAAUCCUGGUAAGACAA